Molecule: ribosomal RNA, 2901 nt
Filed under: Proteus mirabilis
Lineage: Bacteria; Pseudomonadati; Pseudomonadota; Gammaproteobacteria; Enterobacterales; Morganellaceae
Description: 23S ribosomal RNA
Rfam family: Bacterial large subunit ribosomal RNA
Source: RNAcentral
GGUUAAGCGAAUAAGCGUACACGGUGGAUGCCUAGGCAAUCAGAGGCGAUGAAGGACGUGCUAAUCUGCGAAAAGCGUCGGUAAGGUGAUAUGAACCGUUAUACCCGACGAUAUCCGAAUGGGGAAACCCAGUAUCCAAUGGAUACUAUCAUUAACUGAAUCCAUAGGUUAAUGAGGCGAACCGGGAGAACUGAAACAUCUCAGUACCCCGAGGAAAAGAAAUCAACCGAGAUUCCCCUAGUAGCGGCGAGCGAACGGGGAGCAGCCCAGAGUCUUAAUCAAUAGCAGUGUCAGGAGAACGGUCUGGAAAGUCCGGCAGUAAAGGGUGAUAGCCCCGUAUCUGAAGAUGCUGUUAUUGUGAACUCGACGAGUAGGGCGGGACACGUGUUAUCCUGUCUGAAUAUGGGGGGACCAUCCUCCAAGGCUAAAUACUCCUGAUUGACCGAUAGUGAACCAGUACCGUGAGGGAAAGGCGAAAAGAACCCCGGCGAGGGGAGUGAAAAAGAACCUGAAACCGUGUACGUACAAGCAGUAGGAGCCUCUUUAUGGGGUGACUGCGUACCUUUUGUAUAAUGGGUCAGCGACUUAUAUUCUGUAGCGAGGUUAACCGUAUAGGGGAGCCGUAGGGAAACCGAGUCUUAACUGGGCGAAUGAGUUGCAGGGUAUAGACCCGAAACCCGGUGAUCUAUCCAUGGGCAGGUUGAAGGUUGGGUAACACUAACUGGAGGACCGAACCGACUAAUGUUGAAAAAUUAGCGGAUGACUUGUGGAUGGGGGUGAAAGGCCAAUCAAACCGGGAGAUAGCUGGUUCUCCCCGAAAGCUAUUUAGGUAGCGCCUCGUGAACUCAUCUUCGGGGGUAGAGCACUGUUUCGACUAGGGGGUCAUCCCGACUUACCAACUCGAUGCAAACUGCGAAUACCGAAGAAUGUUAUCACGGGAGACACACGGCGGGUGCUAACGUCCGUCGUGAAGAGGGAAACAACCCAGACCGCCAGCUAAGGUCCCAAAGUCAUGGUUAAGUGGGAAACGAAGUGGGAAGGCUCAGACAGCCAGGAUGUUGGCUUAGAAGCAGCCAUCAUUUAAAGAAAGCGUAAUAGCUCACUGGUCGAGUCGGCCCGCGCGGAAGAUGUAACGGGGCUAAACCAUGCACCGAAGCUGCGGCAGCGACACAUAGUGUUGUUGGGUAGGGGAGCGUUCUGUAAGCCUGCGAAGGUGUACUGUGAGGUAUGCUGGAGGUAUCAGAAGUGCGAAUGCUGACAUAAGUAACGAUAAUGCGGGUGAAAAACCCGCACGCCGGAAGACCAAGGGUUCCUGUCCAACGUUAAUCGGGGCAGGGUGAGUCGACCCCUAAGGCGAGGCUGAAAAGCGUAGUCGAUGGGAAACGGGUUAAUAUUCCCGUACUGGUGGUAACUGCGAUGGGGGAACGGAGAAGGCUAGGUUGUCCGGGCGACGGUCGUCCCGGUUCAAGCAGGUAGGCAGAGUGAUUAGGCAAAUCCGGUCACUUAAUGCUGAGAUGUGAUGACGAACCACCAAGGUGGUGAAGCAAUUGAUGCCCCGCUUCCAGGAAAAGCCUCUAAGCUUCAGGUUACCAACAAUCGUACCCCAAACCGACACAGGUGGUCAGGUAGAGAAUACUCAGGCGCUUGAGAGAACUCGGGUGAAGGAACUAGGCAAAAUGGUGCCGUAACUUCGGGAGAAGGCACGCUGGCGGUAGGUAAAGUCCCUUGCGGACGGCGCUGAAGCCAGUCGAAGAUACCAGCUGGCUGCAACUGUUUAUUAAAAACACAGCACUGUGCAAACACGAAAGUGGACGUAUACGGUGUGACGCCUGCCCGGUGCUGGAAGGUUAAUUGAUGGGGUUAGCGCAAGCGAAGCUCCUGAUCGAAGCCCCAGUAAACGGCGGCCGUAACUAUAACGGUCCUAAGGUAGCGAAAUUCCUUGUCGGGUAAGUUCCGACCUGCACGAAUGGCGUAAUGAUGGCCAGGCUGUCUCCACCCGAGACUCAGUGAAAUUGAACUCGCUGUGAAGAUGCAGUGUACCCGCGGCAAGACGGAAAGACCCCGUGAACCUUUACUAUAGCUUGACACUGAACAUUGAGCCUUGAUGUGUAGGAUAGGUGGGAGGCUUUGAAGUGUGGACGCCAGUCUGCAUGGAGCCAACCUUGAAAUACCACCCUUUAACGUUUGAUGUUCUAACCUAGGCCCAUAAACUGGGUCGGGGACCGUGUCUGGUGGGUAGUUUGACUGGGGCGGUCUCCUCCUAAAGAGUAACGGAGGAGCACGAAGGUUGGCUAAGCAUGGUCGGACAUCAUGCGGUUAGUGCAAAGGCAUAAGCCAGCUUGACUGCGAGAGUGACGGCUCGAGCAGGUACGAAAGUAGGUCUUAGUGAUCCGGUGGUUCUGAAUGGAAGGGCCAUCGCUCAACGGAUAAAAGGUACUCCGGGGAUAACAGGCUGAUACCGCCCAAGAGUUCAUAUCGACGGCGGUGUUUGGCACCUCGAUGUCGGCUCAUCACAUCCUGGGGCUGAAGUAGGUCCCAAGGGUAUGGCUGUUCGCCAUUUAAAGUGGUACGCGAGCUGGGUUUAGAACGUCGUGAGACAGUUCGGUCCCUAUCUGCCGUGGGCGUUGGAAGAUUGAGAGGGGUUGCUCCUAGUACGAGAGGACCGGAGUGAACGCACCACUGGUGUUCGGGUUGUCAUGCCAAUGGCAUUGCCCGGUAGCUAAGUGCGGAAGAGAUAACCGCUGAAAGCAUCUAAGCGGGAAACUUGCCUCGAGAUGAGUCUUCCCUGUCGCUUUAAGCGACCUAAAGGAACGUUUAAGACUAAGACGUUGAUAGGCUGGGUGUGUAAGCGUAGCGAUACGUUGAGCUAACCAGUACUAAUGAACCGUGAGGCUUAACCUG